RNAcentral lists this ribosomal RNA (484 nucleotides) under uncultured bacterium. Its description in RNAcentral is "partial 16S ribosomal RNA". It matches the Rfam family "Bacterial small subunit ribosomal RNA", at positions 30 to 507 of the family's 1533-position model. The record is from RNAcentral.
AUUGAACGCUGGCGGCAGGCUUAACACAUGCAAGUCGAGCGGAUGAAGGGAGCUUGCUCCUGGAUUCAGCGGCGGACGGGUGAGUAAUGCCUAUGAAUCUGCCUGGUAGUGGGGGAUAACGUCCGGAAACGGGCGCUAAUACCGCAUACGUCCUGAGCGAGAAAGUGGGGGAUCUUCGGACCGCACGCUAUCAGAUGAGCCUAGGUCGGAUUAGCUAGUUGGUGGGGUAAAGGCCUACCAAGGCGACGAUCCGUAACUGGUCUGAGAGGAUGAUCAGUCACACUGGAACUGAGACACGGUACAGACUCAUACGGGAGGCAGCAGUGGGGAAUAUUGGACCAUGGGCGAAAGCCUGAUCCAGCCAUGCCGCGUGUGUGAAGAAGGUCUUCGGAUUGUAAAGCACUUUAAGUUGGGAGGAAGGGCAGUAAGUUAAUACCUUGCUGUUUUGACGUUACCAACAGAAUAAGCACCGGCUAACUUCGUG